Paramuricea clavata is the source of this 851-nucleotide non-coding RNA. The record is from the annotation of a GenBank genome assembly. NCBI's taxonomy places the organism in Eukaryota, Metazoa, Cnidaria, Anthozoa, Malacalcyonacea, Plexauridae.
AGUUAUUGGGCUGCUUUCGACUGGAGGCAAAUUAAGUUAUUGGGCUGCUUUCUUCGACUCGAGUCGUAUCAAUUUAUUGGGGUGCUUUCGACUCGAGUCAAGUUAAGUUAUUGGUGUGCUUUCGACUCGAGUCAAGUUAAAUUAUUGGUGUGCUUUCGACUCGAGUCAAGUUAAGUUAUUGAGCUUCUGCUUAUUUGAGUUAUUGUGCUUUCGACUCGAGUCAAGUUAAGUUAUUGAGCUUCUGCUUAUUUGAGUUAUUUGAGUUUCUGCUUAUUUUUUAAGGUAGUAAUAUAACCACUCAGCACAGCAUUUCUACAUUGGUACUACCUACACUGGUACAGACAGUUUAAGUUAUUGAGCUGCUUUCUUCGACUCGAGUCGUAUCAAUUUAUUGGGGUGCUUUUGACUCGAGUCAAGUUAAGUUAUUGGGCUGCUUUCGACUGGAGUCAAGUUAAGUUAUUGGGCUGCAUUCUUCGACUCGAGUCUUAUUAAUUUAUUGGGGUGCUUUUGACUCAAGUCAAGUUAAGUUAUUGGGCUGCUUUCGACUCGAGUCAAAAGUCAAGUUAUUUGGGUGCUUUUGACUCGAGUCGUGUCAAGUUAUUGAGGUGCUUUUGACUCGAGUCGCAUCAAGUUAUUGGGGUGCUUUCGACUCGAGUCGAGUCAAGUUAUUGGGGUGCUUUCGACUCGAGUCGAGUCGUGUCAAAUUGUUGGGGUGCUUUCGACUCGAGUCGAGUCGUGUCAAAUUGUUGGAUGAAAAAUCCGUUGUUUCACAUUUCACCACAAGAGGCCCUAUUAAUAUUAUCUACUGUCUAUUAAUAUUAUUGCCUAUUCAGAAAUAAAUUUUAUGGAAG